UGGGGAAUAUUGCACAAUGGGCGCAAGCCUGAUGCAGCCAUGCCGCGUGUAUGAAGAAGGCCUUCGGGUUGUAAAGUACUUUCAGUCGGGAGGAAGGUGGUAAGGUUAAUAACCUUGGCAAUUGACGUUACCGACAGAAGAAGCACCGGCUAACUCCGUGCCAGCAGCCGCGGUAAUACGGAGGGUGCAAGCGUUAAUCGGAAUUACUGGGCGUAAAGCGCACGCAGGCGGUUGAUUGAGUCAGAUGUGAAAUCCCCGGGCUUAACCCGGGAAUUGCAUCUGAUACUGGUCAGCUAGAGUCUUGUAGAGGGGGGUAGAAUUCCAUGUGUAGCGGUGAAAUGCGUAGAGAUGUGGAGGAAUACCGGUGGCGAAGGCGGCCCCCUGGACAAAGACUGACGCUCAGGUGCGAAAGCGUGGGGAGCAAACAGG
This 429-nucleotide ribosomal RNA is filed under the name Acidobacteriota bacterium. RNAcentral's name for it is "Acidobacteria bacterium partial 16S ribosomal RNA". It matches the Rfam family "Bacterial small subunit ribosomal RNA", at positions 355 to 776 of the family's 1533-position model. The record is from RNAcentral. RNAcentral also lists the same sequence under 1 other name. Lineage: Bacteria; Pseudomonadati; Acidobacteriota.